CGCAAGCCUGACGGCGCAAGACCGCGUGGGGGAGGAAGGCUCUAGGGUUGUAAACCCCUUUUCUUUGGGAAGAACAAAAUGACGGUACCAAAGGAAUCAGCCUCGGCUAACUCCGUGCCAGCAGCCGCGGUAAUACGGAGGAGGCAAGCGUUAUCCGGAAUGAUUGGGCGUAAAGCGUCCGCAGGUGGCAAUGUAAGUCUGCUGUCAAAACCCAGGGCUCAACUCUGGUCAGGCAGUGGAAACUACAUAGCUAGAGUUCGGUAGGGGCAAAGGGAAUUCCCGGUGUAGCGGUGAAAUGCGUAGAGAUUGGGAAGAACACCGGUGGCGAAAGCGCCCUACUGGGCCAUAACGGACACUGAGGGACGAAAGCUAGGGUAGCG
RNAcentral lists this ribosomal RNA (380 nucleotides) under uncultured cyanobacterium. RNAcentral's name for it is "bacterial SSU rRNA". It matches the Rfam family "Bacterial small subunit ribosomal RNA", at positions 376 to 770 of the family's 1533-position model. Lineage: Bacteria; Bacillati; Cyanobacteriota. The record is from RNAcentral.